GUCCGCUUGGUCUAGGGGUAUGAUACGUCUUUAGGGUGGACGUGGUCCCGGGUUCGAUUCCCGGAGCGGACC
Non-coding RNA from Fragilaria crotonensis, 72 nucleotides. The record is from the annotation of a GenBank genome assembly. Lineage: Eukaryota; Bacillariophyta; Fragilariophyceae; Fragilariales; Fragilariaceae.